This 495-nucleotide ribosomal RNA is filed under the name uncultured bacterium. Its description in RNAcentral is "partial 16S ribosomal RNA". It matches the Rfam family "Bacterial small subunit ribosomal RNA", at positions 28 to 507 of the family's 1533-position model. The record is from RNAcentral.
GACGAACGCUGGCGGCGUGCCUAAUACAUGCAAGUAGAACGCUGAAGGAGGAGCUUGCUUCUCCGGAUGAGUUGCGAACGGGUGAGUAACGCGUAGGUAACCUGCCUGGUAGCGGGGGAUAACUAUUGGAAACGAUAGCUAAUACCGCAUAACAGUAGAUGUUGCAUGACAUUUGCUUAAAAGAUGCAAUUGCAUCACUACCAGAUGGACCUGCGUUGUAUUAGCUAGUUGGUGAGGUAACGGCUCACCACGGCGACGAUACAUAGCCGACCACGGAGGGGGGUCGGCCACACUGGGACUGAGACAAGGGCCAGACUCCUACGGGAGGCAGCAGUAGGGAAUCUUCGGCAAUGGACGGAAGGCUGACCGAGCAAAGCCGCGUGAGUGAAGAAGGUUUUCGGAUCGUAAAGCUCUGUUGUAAGAGAAGAACGAGAGUGAGAGUGGAAAGUUCACACUGUGACGGUAUCUUACCAGAAAGGGACGGCUAACUACGUG